Molecule: ribosomal RNA, 466 nt
Filed under: uncultured bacterium
Lineage: Bacteria
Description: bacterial SSU rRNA
Rfam family: Bacterial small subunit ribosomal RNA
Source: RNAcentral
ACUCCUACGGUAGGCAGCAGUGAGGAAUAUUGGACAAUGGGCGGGAGCCUGAUCCAGCCAUGCCGCGUGCAGGAAGACUGCCCUAUGGGUUGUAAACUGCUUUUGUACAGGAAGAAACACUCCCUCGUGAGGGAGCUUGACGGUACUGUAAGAAUAAGGAUCGGCUAACUCCGUGCCAGCAGCCGCGGUAAUACGGAGGGUCCAAGCGUUAUCCGGAAUCACUGGGUUUAAAGGGUGCGUAGGCGGAUAACUAAGUCUAAGGUGAAAGUCUGUGGCUUAACUAUAGAAUUGCCUUGGAUACUGGUUAUCUUGAAUUGGGUUGAGGAUGGCGGAAUGUGACAUGUAGCGGUGAAAUGCAUAGAUAUGUCAUAGAACACCGAUUGCGAAGGCAGCCAUCUGGGCCUUGAUUGACGCUGAGGCACGAAAGCGUGGGGAGCGAACAGGAUUAGAUACCCUGGUAGGAUAG